GUAGGGAAUUUUCGUCAAUGGGCGCAAGCCUGAACGAGCAAUGCCGCGUGAGUGAGGAAGGUCUUCGGACUGUAAAGCUCUGUUGCCGGGGAAAAAGGGGAAAUGCAGGAAAUGGCAUUUCAUGGAUGGUACCCGGCCAGAAAGCCACGGCUAACUACGUGCCAGCAGCCGCGGUAAUACGUAGGUGGCGAGCGUUAUCCGGAAUGAUUGGGCGUAAAGGGUGCGCAGGCGGUCUGUUAAGUCUGAAGGCAAAGGGAUGAGCUCAACUCAUUUAUGAUUCAGAAACUGGCAGACUUGAGGACAGGAGAGGGCGGUGGAACUCCAUGUGUAGCGGUAAAAUGCGCAGAGAUAUGGAAGAACACCAGUGGCGAAGGCGGCCGCCUGGCCUGUGACUGACGCUGAGGCACGAAAGCGUGGGGAGCAAAUAGGAUUAGAAACCCUAGUAGUCC
RNAcentral lists this ribosomal RNA (449 nucleotides) under uncultured bacterium. Its description in RNAcentral is "bacterial SSU rRNA". It matches the Rfam family "Bacterial small subunit ribosomal RNA", at positions 354 to 796 of the family's 1533-position model. The record is from RNAcentral.